ACCUGAAGGGAGCUAUCCCUAGUACGAGAGGACCGGGAUGGACGCACCUCUAGUGUUCCGGUUGUGGCGCCAGCCGCAUCGCCGGGUAGCUACGUGCGGAAGGGAUAACCGCUGAAAGCAUAUAAGCGGGAAGCCCACCCUGAGAUUAAGUAUCCCGGGUCGUAAGACCCCUGAAGGCCCCUUCUAGACUAGGAGGUUGAUAGGCCGGAUGUGGAAGGCCAGUAAUGGUUGAAGCUUACCGGUACUAAUUGGCCGUGAGGCUUGACCAU
Molecule: ribosomal RNA, 269 nt
Filed under: Deltaproteobacteria bacterium
Lineage: Bacteria; Pseudomonadati; Myxococcota; Myxococcia
Description: partial 23S ribosomal RNA
Rfam family: Bacterial large subunit ribosomal RNA
Source: RNAcentral